AUUAUUAAAUUAUAUUAUUUAGUUAGUGUUCAUUGUUGUUAGUCUUUUAAUUCAAUUUCCGUCCAUUUCAAUUCCUAGUGUCUAAAUUGAUUGUUUCCAUUAUUUUGAGUCAUUCUAAGUGUGUUUCGAGUUAUUAGAGUUUUUAGCCUAGUUUUGUGUCCUUGAGUCUUAUUUAAUAUUUUUAAUAGAUUAGCAAUCCCUCCUAAUCCCCGGCCUAGAACGAUACCCUACUUACAUCUAUACUACAAUUGUCAAAAAGAGGGUUUAAUUUGUGUGUCAAGUAAUUCUCGCACCAAUUAACGAGGCAUUCGUUAUUACGAUGAGCAUGAAACUCCUGCCAAGAAUUCAUUUAACGCGAUCGUUUAUAAACGACCUCCACUACUUGUGAAUAUAAGUUUGUAACUAUUAGGUGAAACUCCCUUAUACUCUAGCAUCAUAUUCAUGCAUGCAAACUAAGUGUGCACUCUUAAUAAACAUACACGAAUAAGUUAUCAAUCAAGCAGUUAAACAAAUUGAAGUCAUAACUUAUGAAAUCACAACUAAAGGUAAUCAAUUCAUAUUGCAAGUAUGUUCAUGGCUUUGAAUUCCCCCUAGCUAAGGGGGGGGUUUAGUUCCUCAUACUCACAAAGCAAAGAUAAACAAAUUUAGACAUUGAAAACAAAAGAAUGAAAACACCUAAAAACGCUCCAACAAUCCAACUUGAAUGGCAAGCAUGUCCAAGGGUCCUCAUUCUUCUCUUUGUUGCGGCACAAGGUGUGGUUUGAUGGAUGCAUAUGGAUAUAUGGAAGGGAAUGGCUGAAUGUGUUUAGGUUGGAUGAAGGUCACGGCAAGGAAAGGGAAAUGAAGGUGCAUGGAAUUGUGUUUUUAUUGUGGGAAUGUGUAGAAUGGUUAAGAAGAAAAGACUCUGCCUUGUGGCAGAAUGUGUCUUCCUCCUUUCUCCCUAAACUGUCCCCCUUGGAUGUGUCUUUGGAUGGAUAUAUUUAUAGGCUAGGGAGAGAAUGUAGUGGAUGGUGGUAAUGAGUGGAUGUAGUGGUAGGUGAAUGUGUUGGGUGGUUGAAAUGAGUGGAUGUGUUGGGUGAAAUGAGUGGAUGUAGUGGUAGGUGAAUGGAUGUGUUGGGUGAAAUGAGUGGAUGCGGUGGUAGGUGAAUGUGUUGGGUGGUUAUAAUGAGUGGAUGUGUUGGGUGAAAUGAGUGGAUAUAGUGGUAGGUGAAUGUGUUGGGUGGUUGUAAUGAGUGGAUGUAGUGGUAGGUGAAUGUGUUGGGUGGUUGUAAUGAGUGGAUGUGUUAGGUGAAAUGAGUGUGCUAAAAUGGUUAUUUAUAGGGAGAGGAUGAUGCAUAAACUUCAAAUUUCGUCCAUUCCUUUUGCUCCAAGAAUAUGCUAUCCAUUCCAUGCCCAAAAAUGCUCCAAAAUGCACUUCUUUGCCACA
RNAcentral lists this long non-coding RNA (1426 nucleotides) under Malus domestica (apple). RNAcentral's name for it is "long non-coding RNA (MDOM_LNC006146)". The record is from RNAcentral. Lineage: Eukaryota; Viridiplantae; Streptophyta; Magnoliopsida; Rosales; Rosaceae.